UGAAUCAGUGUGUGUGUUAGUGGAAGCGUCUGGAAAGGCGCGCGAUACAGGGUGACAGCCCCGUACACAAAAAUGCACAUACUGUGAGCUCGAUGAGUAGGGCGGGACACGUGGUAUCCUGUCUGAAUAUGGGGGGACCAUCCUCCAAGGCUAAAUACUCCUGACUGACCGAUAGUGAACCAGUACCGUGAGGGAAAGGCGAAAAGAACCCCGGCGAGGGGAGUGAAAAAGAACCUGAAACCGUGUACGUACAAGCAGUGGGAGCCUCUUUUAUGGGGUGACUGCGUACCUUUUGUAUAAUGGGUCAGCGACUUAUAUUCUGUAGCAAGGUUAACCGAAUAGGGGA
This 346-nucleotide ribosomal RNA is filed under the name Escherichia coli. RNAcentral's name for it is "partial 23S ribosomal RNA". It matches the Rfam family "Bacterial large subunit ribosomal RNA", at positions 313 to 664 of the family's 2925-position model. The record is from RNAcentral. Lineage: Bacteria; Pseudomonadati; Pseudomonadota; Gammaproteobacteria; Enterobacterales; Enterobacteriaceae.